AGAGGGCGUGAAACCGCUUAGAAGGAAACGAGAGGCGCUGCAUUUUCCAGCGAGAUUCACUUAUUGAUUGCAGUUCGGCUGCGACAGUGAGGCAUUUCUUGUUGGUACGCACUGAAAGCUGUGCUGGUUGUGAUGCGGCCAUUUAGGAGUAGGGCGCUUAUGUGCUGUUUCCUAUGUGGUUGUGUUACUUUCCGGUACAGUUUACAAGGCACUCUGUAUUGAUCAGUGACAGUGGAACAUUUAAUAUGCUUGCCACAGCGACUCAGUGUCGUCUGGUUUGUACUGUUUCUUGUGAAACUAUAACUGAGUAAGUGUCGUUUCGGUGUGAACGUCAGCUACCCUCCCGACCCGUCUUGAAACACGGACCAAGGAGUCUAACAUGUGCGCAAGUCACUGGGUUUAUUAAACCUAUAGGCGCAAUGAAAGUAUAGGCUGGCUCGGUCGGCUGACACACGAUCUGCUCAGUUUUACUGUGCAGCGCAGUGUGGUCCCGCCUUGGCUGCUUGUCACUGAGGCGGAGAUUGAGCGUACAUGUUGGGACCCGAAAGAUGGUGAACUAUGCCUGAACAGGAUGAAGCCAGAGGAAACUCUGGUGGAA
This 598-nucleotide ribosomal RNA is filed under the name Desmoscolecidae sp. 159_4-1000_X. Its description in RNAcentral is "eukaryotic LSU rRNA". It matches the Rfam family "Eukaryotic large subunit ribosomal RNA", at positions 392 to 872 of the family's 3401-position model. Lineage: Eukaryota; Metazoa; Nematoda; Chromadorea; Desmoscolecida; Desmoscolecidae. The record is from RNAcentral.